CGCGGACCUGAGAGGGGGCCGGGGGACCCGGGGGUCUGCGCGCAGCGGCAGCGGCAACUUUUCCGCGCUGGACUCGCGGGCGGAGUGGGGACGCGCCUGGAGGGGUCCCCAACUCUUGGCAACGAGGGCGGCGCGGCGGGGAGUUGGGGGAAAGCCGGGAAGGGGCUUCUGGGGUGGUAGCGACAGAGUCCUGGGGCGCUACCUGCGGAUGAGGGAAGGGCGGCCUGGCUCUGAACCAUCCCCUCAGGCCCGCCCCAGGAGACCUAUUGGGACUUGCUGGGAAGCGCAAAGAGAGAGGGUCCCUGCCUGCCUUGGAGUUUGGCUAGCUAUGCACAGGGGUCCCACUGGGCCCCUAUCUGGCUUUGGGCUAGAAGCACGGGGAAGGGACUCCCGGAGUUCUCUGGAUGAGAGGGAAGUGGUGUCACUUGCAAGUUCUUGACAAGUUGGGGUGAGUGGAGGGAGACGGUUUCCUGUGGGUGGGGGCGAUCUGGUGGGCCCUGGUGCAGCUGGGGUUCAGGGUGUCUCUGCCUCCUGGAUGCGCCUGGCUCCCUCUAGGAGCAGCUCAUGCAAUGUUGGUAGGAAGGGGCCAGGUUUGGGGGUCUCCUGGAGGGCUGACUCUCUAGCCCUGUCAGCUCUGGGGACCCCAUGCCCUUGCACUACAGGAGGUGGGUAAAAUGACCUGGCUGAACCCCAGCUUCUCUGUGCCUGCCCCAGAGAGACUUCUGGUUCCAGCUUUGCUUGGAUGUCCCAAGCCCCAUCCCUGACCUUCCUGCCCAGCUCGGUUGGGGCCCAGGCCCAGGGCCUCCUGAAUGCCUGGGAGGUGCCCUUGGCUGGCUGUCUCCUGUCCCCUUCCCAGCCCCCACCAGCUGCCCGCCGGUGACAGGGUGGUCUCAUGUCCUUGGCAGUCUUGUCUGGGCCAGCCCAAGCUGGAAGGCAGUGCCCAACAGGUGCCUGGCUCAGAGGCGAGGUGAUGUGGGACACGCCCUGUCCGCUCGCCCACAUGCCCUGCUGGGCCAGCAUGGGCACAUGUGUUCCUGCACGGCCGUCCUGGGAAGGCACGGGCCCUGGGUCUGAUGCCAGCUUGUCCUGCGCUUGCAGGGUUCCCUCUGGGAGCUCCCUCAAGACCCCAGCUAGUAGCAGAUCUUGCCCACGGUCCUGGAGGGGCCCUAAAAUAUCUGCUGGCUGGGCCCCGGGCUGGCACGCAGAGUCCAUGCGUGACAGGGCGUGUCCAGGGGUCGGGCCUGUCUGUGCUGGCCCAGCCUCUGUGUCUCCAAUUCCUGCUUGCAGGGGAGAGAGCAAAGAUGGAUGUUCAGGGGUUCUCCCACGGACCCCACAAACAUGCCACACCCUGCCUGAUCGCAAGUGGGGCCCAGAUGUUCAGAUAUUGUGUGUGGGCUGCAGCUUUGGGGCAGGUGCUGUGUAUAUGCAUUCCUGGGGUGACAGUGCCAGUGCAAACCCUGGGGUAACCUGACUGCUCCCGAGGUCCAUGUGGGGCUUAUCCAUCUUCAGGAGCUUUUUGAAAUCUGCCCUGCACCUUGGGUGGGGCUCUGUCCACAGUGAAUGAUGCUGCUGGGAACCUUGGGUGGUCUUAGAAAACCUUCCUCCAACGCUUUUUUCAGGACUUUGUUAUUUUUAUUUUAUUUUUUGGAGGUGGAGGUGAGACAGGUUUCACAUGUAGCCCAUGCUGGCCUAGAACUCAACUGUAUAGCCCAGGCUGGUCUUGAACUCAUGGCGAUUCUCCUGCCUCAGUCUCCAGAGUUGCUGAGAUUACAGGUGCGUGCCACCACACCUGGCUCCACUUUGGGUAUUCCUUAGGCCAGGUACAGGCUGGUUGUGUGUGAGACUCACUGUGGGACCUCACUCCGGCUGGGGAUCGCCCUGUCCUCUGCCUUAUGCAUCUAGAACUGGGGAGAGUUCCCAUGUGAGAGGAGAGCAGCGUGCCCUGCGCUUCUCCCGCCCAGGCCCUGGACUCCAGACUUUUUGGGGCGCUCUGGUCCCUUUCUCCCCUGCUGUCUGGGGUCCUGGGCCGCUCACCUGGAGACGUAUGCAAGGGUUUCGGGUGUGGGCGUGUGGGAAUUCUUGGGUAGAGCAGGAUGCGCCAUGCUGGGCACAGCUGAGUCAUACUCCAGUGGCGCCUUGCCCCAGGGUGCUGGGGCUGGCGCCACCCUGGGUGUGGUCACUGUGCUGUGGCCCGCGGCUGGGUGGUCUGGGAUGUGGCAGGGUGGUGAGGGGCAGCAAAGCAGCUUCUGAGAUGCUAAUUCUUGCCAUCCACAACUAUGGGCAGAUAACCUCCAUAAUGCCGUGGGGAGUCCAGGGACAUCGAGCCACGCGUUUGGGGAAUUUUGGGGUGUCAUGAAAAGAGGACAGAGCCCAUUAGAAAGCAGAUACAGCUGGACAUGGUGGUGCUCACCUGUCAUCCCAGCACUCUGGGAGGCUGAGGCAGGAGGAUCACAAGUUUGAGCUCAGCCUGGGCAACUUAGCGAGACCUUGCCUCAAAAUAAAAAAUAAAGGCCUGGGGAUGGAGCACAAUGUGAAGGCCCCUGGUUCAAACCCUAGUCUCUAAAAAAAAAAAAAAAAGAAGAAGCCAUUUACUCUCUUCUAGGCUUGUAGCCCCCAAACUCCAGGCUAGGGUUUAGAAAUAGACUUCAGUGGCAGGUAGAGGUGGGUACACAAUGGUGGGGUGUACCCCUCAGGGAAGGGCUUCCUGGGUGGAUAUGGGGGUGCCCCUCCAGGCUCUGUGAUUGGCCAGGCCAUGCCUUUGAUCUCCCUAUUUAUAACAGAUGAUUCAGUGUGCUCUUACCCAUCCUGAGCCUGCCCCCAGGGCCAGCCCUGGGUGGGCCAUGGGACUCCCACUUGCAAGGGUGCCAACCCUCGGGACUGCCCAACCUCGUGGGGACAGACCUUAUUGUUCCUGCCGGGGUAACUGGGGUGGAGGGUAGGGGGACUGGCGGUCAGGCGGCGCUGGGCUGGGAAGCCCCGGUUGGCGGCUGGCUCGGGGCCCGGCCCACCGAGCUUCUGUUAAGAGUCUGGCCCAUUAGGCAAAGCGCUAGUGACAGGCUGGGCGGCGGCGGGCAGGGCGGGGCCAGCAGUCCUUGGUAUUUUCCGAUCCCAGCUGCUCUGUGAGGGUGGAAAGUAUUUGGGGAUCAGGCUUGGAGGCGGCAGCGGCGGUGGAGUCCCGGCGGAAGCCGUCCCUGAUGCAUUCCUGGGGCACGGGGCCCUGUGUGUGUCUGGUGCGUAGCCUCUGUCUGCGUUCUGGUGCACACUGGUGUCCCCAUCCAGCCUGGAGACCACUCCGAGGCCCGGCACAGGGCCCCUGUCCUCCAUCCCUGCAGAUGCCAUGAGCUUGGCUCUCUUGGGACCCGAGGGGGAGCCCGGGAUUGGUAAAGGGGGCCCAGUGCUGGGGCACCUGUGUGGCUGUGGGCUCUCCACGCGGGACCAGACCUUUUGUGCCUGUGGGGAUGGGGAGUGGCCUUGGCCCAGCUCUGGGCUCUGUGCAGGGGAAACCCCACAGGAAACAGGCCUGGCCAAAUGGCCGCCCUUCCCGUUCUCGUCCCGGGACACGAAUAUGCUGUCUCACUUCCGGAGGCGGCUCGGGGAGGUUGGCUGCCCUGCGGGGCCAGGCUGCUCCCAGUUGGCACCCCCAGACCCUGAGGGGACAGGACCAGGGACCCCUGGGGAAGAUGGGCCUGCGUGCAUGUUUGUGGGGUGGAUGGAGCACAGGACAUCUCUCGCUGCCCGCUUCCCUUGGGGCUGGCCCCAGAUCUGGACAUGAAGGUCCUGCCUGUGUGGGAUCCUUGUUUCCAUCUUCUGGCCUCUUUGUGCUGGGUGGCAGUGAAAGUAUCGCACUGUCCUGACGACACACGUUACUCAUAGGAUCCUCACUGCCAGCCACUUUCCAUGUAGAUAACUGGUAUCUAUUUGGUAACUGUUUUUCAGGGGCACUGAGGCUCAGAGAGUUUGAGUGACUUGCCCAGAGCUGCCCAGCUAGGAACCUGGGGGUGGGUUUCAAAUUUGGCUGACUGACUCUUAAGUUUGGCUCUUCUAGCCACGGAUCAUGGCGAGUGCGGCCCUGGCAGACUUGUCCUUGGAAAGACCUGAUCGUGGUUUAAUGUUUUGCUCCAAAUGUUGUGAAGUCCUCUUUUUACUUUUUGGUGGUGGUGGUGCUGAGGAUGGAACCCAGGGCCUCGAACAUGCUAAGCACGUGCUUUAGUGCUGGGCUGCACCCCAGCCCUGUGAAAUUCUUUAUUUAUAGCCAGGAGUGGUGGCACACACCUAUGAUCCUAGUACUCGGGAGGCUGAGGCAGGAGGAUCACUGCAGAGUUCAAGGCCAGCCUGGGAAACUUUGUGAGUUCAAAGCCUGGACUACACAGCGAGACCCUGUUUCACAAAAGAAAAAUGAAAAAGAAACUCUUAAUUUUGCUCAUCUUUGUUCUGUACUGGGCCUCACAAAUUUAGUGGCCCCCAUACCUAGCUGACUGAGUGAGUGACAGACAUCAUGGUGAAAGCUCACUGGGUUACUCAGUAGCAGCUUUUGGCUCUGUUUCACAGAUGGGGAAACUGAGGCUUCUAGGGCAUCUGGGAAACUGCAUUUGGGACUUGAACUCUGGUCUGGUGUUUGGGUGCCAGCCUCUGGCCCCGCCCAGUGCCUCCCACCCUUUGCCAUGGCCGGCUGGGGUUCCUGGGGAUGGGAUUUGCUGUCUCACAAAUCACAUUGCCAGGGAUUUCCAACCGACCCUGAGCUCUGCCUCCGGGCCCACCACUGCCACUGAGGAUGCCUGUCCAUGCCUGGGGACGGGGUGUCGGAGAGGCCCUGCCACCGCCACCACCACUGCUGUAGCCGUCGCCAGGCCUGAGGAGCAGGGCUUAGCUGCUUGUGAGCAGAGUCCGCACCAAGUCGUGUUCACAGUGGCUAAGUUCCGUCCCCUGGGCCCCGCCUCCACCGCCCCACCUUUCUGCUGGUUGCCCAGUUCCCCGGGCUCUGCCUCCCGUGCCUACUGAGCUGAAACACAGUUGAUUUGUGCAGACUGGCUCAGUUCAGCAGGAACAGGGGUCAAGCCCCCUGGAGCCUGGAGCGCACAGCCUGGCUGUCCUGACACGGCGACCAGACAGGCGCAGAUGUGUCUGAAGGAGGGGACACGGGAGGACGGGGUGAGAGGGCUGGCCUGGGUCUAGGCAUCUGCUGCAGGCCACCUCUCUUUUUUGUUUUUUGAUACCAUGGAUGGAACUCGGGUCCUUGCACUUUCGCAGCAGGCAGUGAAACCACUGAGCUAAAUCCCCAGCCCAAGGCCACCUCUCUUGGUCUGCACAGAGGGACCCUGUUGUCCCAACAUGGCCAUACCUCGAACAGGCUGAGCCGUUGUCCCAGGGUAGACAGGACAGAGGGUCCUUCCUUAAGCCAGCUGUGCUUCUCUGGGCCUAGCACCUCAGCUCCUCCCUGUUUUGAUUCGUGAGAUUGAGUCUCCCUGUGUAAUCCAGGCUGGCUUUGAAUUAUGUAGCCAGGCAGUCCUCCUGCCUCAGCUUCCUGAGUGCUGGGAUGACAUGUGUGUGUCACCAUGCCUGGCCCUGCCCCUCCUGUCCUAAGCCUAGCGGGGAGUGCUGAACCUUCCCAGCUGCCUGUUACCCAAGAGGAAGCUGCCUUAGGCCCCCUGACCGUUAAGUGCCAACUCACAGCUUCUGGAACUAGCUGGCCCGACUUGGCCGAGUGAGUGUGCCUGGGCCCCUCUCCCUGGCCCUGAGGGUUCUUAAUGACACCCACUCCACGUGGGGUAGGGAACAGUUCCAUGCGGCCCCAAGAGGGACAUGAUCAGGCCUCCCCUGUCCUGGGGUUGAGGUCAUCCUGUCCUGCUCUCCUUGGUGGUCCUGGGCUUGGAAGAGGUGAAUUGUGCCACUGUCCCCAAGUCAGAUGGGAGGAAGCUCUUUGGGCCUGGAGGGAGGGUCCAGUGAAAUGCCCAGACUGUCAGGGCUGGCCUGGUGUUGCCCAGGUAGGGGCAGACAGGAGCUUGGGUGGAGGGAGGGCAGCAUUUGUAUUGUGCCCCGCAUGUGAUGCCCAGUGAAAUAAAAGUUGUCCCAGCUUCACUCCUGAGGCUCUGAUGGUC
Heterocephalus glaber (naked mole-rat) is the source of this 6095-nucleotide non-coding RNA. NCBI's taxonomy places the organism in Eukaryota, Metazoa, Chordata, Mammalia, Rodentia, Bathyergidae. The record is from RefSeq and is a predicted model, not a curated record.